This 305-nucleotide ribosomal RNA is filed under the name uncultured bacterium. RNAcentral's name for it is "bacterial SSU rRNA". It matches the Rfam family "Bacterial small subunit ribosomal RNA", at positions 337 to 640 of the family's 1533-position model. The record is from RNAcentral.
CCCUACGGGGGGCAGCAGUGAGGAAUAUUGAUCAAUGGUCGGGAGACUGAACCAGCCAAGCCGCGUGAGGGAUGAAGGUACAGAGUAUCGUAAACCUCUUUUGUCAGGGAACAAAGGCGGGGACGCGUCCCCGGAUGAGUGUACCUGAAGAAAAAGCAUCGGCUAACUCCGUGCCAGCAGCCGCGGUAAUACGGAGGAUGCGAGCGUUAUCCGGAUUCAUUGGGUUUAAAGGGUGCGCAGGCGGUCUGUUAAGUCAGCGGUCAAAGCCCGGGGCUCAACCCCGGCCCGCCGUUGAAACUGGCAGU